RNAcentral lists this ribosomal RNA (461 nucleotides) under uncultured bacterium. Its description in RNAcentral is "bacterial SSU rRNA". It matches the Rfam family "Bacterial small subunit ribosomal RNA", at positions 28 to 507 of the family's 1533-position model. The record is from RNAcentral.
GAUGAACGCUGGCGGCGUGCAUAACACAUUCAAGUCGAACGGAGUGAUUCCUUCGGGGAUUACUUAGUGGCGGACGGGUGAGUAACGCGUGAGCAACCUGCCCUUGUGUGGGGGACAACAGCUGGAAACGGCUGCUAAUACCGCAUAACACAUCGGAAUCGCAUGUUUCUGAUGUCAAAGAUUUAUUGCGCAAGGAUGGGCUCGCGUCUGAUUAGGUAGUUGGUAGGGUAACGGCCUACCAAGCCGACGAUCAGUAGCCGGACUGAGAGGUUGAACGGCCACAUUGGAACUGAGAAACGGUCCAGACUCCUACGGGAGGCAGCAGUGGGGAAUAUUGGGCAAUGGGCGAAAGCCUGACCCAGCGACGCCGCGUGCGGGAAGACGGUCUUCGGAUUGUAAACCGCUUUUAUGAGGGACGAAGAAUGACGGUACCUCAUGAAUAAGCCACGGCUAACUACGUG